This 72-nucleotide transfer RNA is filed under the name Camelus bactrianus (Bactrian camel). It matches the Rfam family "tRNA". From Rfam's summary of the family: Transfer RNA (tRNA) molecules are approximately 80 nucleotides in length. Lineage: Eukaryota; Metazoa; Chordata; Mammalia; Artiodactyla; Camelidae. The record is from Rfam by way of RNAcentral. RNAcentral also lists the same sequence under 2 other names.
AAGGGUAUAGCUCAGUGGUAGAGUGUGUGCUUAGCAUGCAGGAGGUCCUGGGUUCAAUCUCCAGUACCUCCA